GACGAACGCUGGCGGCGUGCUUAACACAUGCAAGUCGAACGGAAAGGCCCCUUUGGGGGUACUCGAGCGGCGCACGGGUGAGUAACACGUGCGUAACCUGCCCUUCUCUUCGGGAUAACUUCAGGAAACUGGGGCUAAUACCGGAUAGGAAUCCUUGCUGCAUGGUGGGGGUUGGAAAGCUUCGGCGGUGUUGGAUGGACUCGCGGCUUAUCAGCUUGUUGGUGGGGUAGUGGCUUACCAAGGCUUUGACGGGUAGCCGGCCUGAGAGGGCGACCGGCCACAUUGGGACUGAGAUACGGCCCAGACUCCUACGGGAGGCAGCAGUGGGGAAAAUUGAACAAUGGGCGGAAGCCUGAUGCAGCAACGCCGCGUGCGUGAUGACGGCCUUCGGGUUGUAAACCGCUUUCAGCAGGGGCGAAGCUUGUGGUGACGGUACCUGCAGAAGAAGCACCGGCUAACUACGUG
RNAcentral lists this ribosomal RNA (465 nucleotides) under uncultured bacterium. Its description in RNAcentral is "partial 16S ribosomal RNA". It matches the Rfam family "Bacterial small subunit ribosomal RNA", at positions 28 to 507 of the family's 1533-position model. The record is from RNAcentral.